Molecule: unclassified non-coding RNA, 379 nt
Filed under: uncultured Bacillaceae bacterium
Lineage: Bacteria; Bacillati; Bacillota; Bacilli; Caryophanales; Bacillaceae
Description: contains 16S-23S intergenic spacer region
Source: RNAcentral
UCCGGUUUGUCACCGGCAGUCAGAUUAGAGUGCCCAACUAAAUGCUGGCAACUAAUCUCAAGGGUUGCGCUCGUUGCGGGACUUAACCCAACAUCUCACGACACGAGCUGACGACAACCAUGCACCACCUGUCACCGCUGUCCCCGAAGGGAAAGCUAUGUCUCCAUAGCGGCCAGCGGGAUGUCAAGACCUGGUAAGGUUCUUCGCGUUGCUUCGAAUUAAACCACAUGCUCCACCGCUUGUGCGGGCCCCCGUCAAUUCUUUUGAGUUUCAGCCUUGCGGCCGUACUCCCCAGGCGGAGUGCUUAAUGCGUUAACUGCAGCACUAAGGGGCGGAAACCCCCUAACACCUAGCACUCAUCGUUUACGGCGUGGACUAC